RNAcentral lists this small RNA (733 nucleotides) under Pan troglodytes (chimpanzee). RNAcentral's name for it is "retained intron". Lineage: Eukaryota; Metazoa; Chordata; Mammalia; Primates; Hominidae. The record is from RNAcentral.
CGGCGGCGGUAGCCAGGCUGUGGUGGCGCGGGAUCUUGGGGGCCUCGGCGCUGACCAGGGGUGAGCACGGGCAGCCAGCUGAGACCGGGGUCAGGCGCAGCGGCGUGCCCAGUGCAGAGAGCUCCUCAGGGCUCAUCCCGCGCGUCUGUGCCUUUUAUCUCCCUGUGCAGGGACUGGGCGACCCUCCGUUCUGUUGCUGCCGGUGAGGCGGGAGAGCGCCGGGGCCGACACGCGCCCCACUGUCAGACCACGGAAUGAUGUGGCCCACAAGCAGCUCUCAGCUUUUGGAGAGUAUGUGGCUGAAAUCUUGCCCAAGUAUGUCCAACAAGUUCAGGUGUCCUGCUUCAAUGAGUUAGAGGUCUGUAUCCAUCCUGAUGGCGUCAUCCCAGUGCUGACUUUCCUCAGGGAUCACACCAAUGCGCAGUUCAAAUCCCUGGUUGACUUGACAGCAGUGGACGUCCCAACUCGGCAGAACCGUUUUGAGAUUGUCUACAACCUGUUGUCUCUGCGCUUCAACUCACGGAUCCGUGUGAAGACCUACACAGAUGAGCUGACGCCCAUUGAGUCUGCUGUCUCUGUGUUCAAGGCAGCCAACUGGUAUGAAAGGGAGAUCUGGGACAUGUUUGGAGUCUUCUUUGCUAACCACCCUGAUCUAAGAAGGAUCCUGACAGAUUAUGGCUUCGAGGGACAUCCUUUCCGGAAAGACUUUCCUCUAUCUGGCUAUGUUGAGGUA